This 68-nucleotide transfer RNA is filed under the name Arvicanthis abyssinicus (Abyssinian grass rat). Its description in RNAcentral is "partial tRNA-His". The record is from RNAcentral. Lineage: Eukaryota; Metazoa; Chordata; Mammalia; Rodentia; Muridae.
GUAGAUAUAGUUUAAACAAAACAUUAGACUGUGAAUCUAAAAAUAGGAAAUAGUUAACCCUUAUUANC